CAUGAAGCUGGAAUCGCUAGUAAUCGCAGGUCAGCAUACUGCGGUGAAUACGUUCCCGGGUCUUGUACACACCGCCCGUCACACCAUGGGAGCCGGAAAUGCCCGAAGCCAGUGACCCAACCUUAGGGAGGAAGCUGUCGAAGGUGGAGCCGGUAACUGGGGUGAAGUCGUAACAAGGUAAC
RNAcentral lists this ribosomal RNA (182 nucleotides) under uncultured bacterium. RNAcentral describes it as "partial 16S ribosomal RNA". It matches the Rfam family "Bacterial small subunit ribosomal RNA", at positions 1319 to 1500 of the family's 1533-position model. The record is from RNAcentral.